RNAcentral lists this ribosomal RNA (238 nucleotides) under uncultured bacterium. RNAcentral's name for it is "partial 16S ribosomal RNA". It matches the Rfam family "Bacterial small subunit ribosomal RNA", at positions 29 to 257 of the family's 1533-position model. The record is from RNAcentral.
AAUGAACGCUGGCGGCGCGCCUAAUACAUGCAAGUCGAGCGAGAAGACGUAGCAAUACGUUUGUAAAGCGGCGAGCGGGUGAGGAAUACAUGGGUAACCUACCCUCGAGUGGGGAAUAACUAGCCGAAAGGUUAGCUAAUACCGCGUACGCUCCUUGGACUUCGGUUCAGGGAGGAAAGCGAUACCGUGGGUAUCGCGCUCUUGGUUGGGCUCAUGUCCUAUCAGCUUGUUGGGAGGU